This 3699-nucleotide ribosomal RNA is filed under the name Triticum aestivum (bread wheat). RNAcentral's name for it is "partial small subunit ribosomal RNA". Lineage: Eukaryota; Viridiplantae; Streptophyta; Magnoliopsida; Poales; Poaceae. The record is from RNAcentral.
AUGCUUCGCUCGAGAUUCAUCGAGAUUCAGGCGGGUUGGCGAUGCGCCGACGGGGUCUUGCGCUUGCUGUUUUCGAUGGCAUUCAACAGUUUCGUCGCCGCCGCGGUGGCGGUCACGCCGGUGUGGUUCGGCCUGUCCGAAGCCACAUCCUGAGUGGCUCGCGGCGAUCAUCAAAAUGAUGAUGAUGAUUUCAUGGAUGCACCGCAGCAGAAUCGGGCAACUGGACGGAGAAAAGACGACGAUGAGAAGAAGAAACGUACUCGCAAUAGGGCUUCGCAGGAACGCCUGACUUCAUUGACCGGCAGAUUUACCGACGAUCAGAAGGGAGCUGCUGCUGAGAUGGGUAUGCAGGCACUGAUGGAUGUCCGGUGCAAGAAUCUAGUGAACCAUGUAUGCGACUGGCUUGGUGAGAUUUACGACCCCGCCUCCAGGGAAUUUGUGAUUCCGGGAUGUGGAAGACUGUCGUUGGACGAGGAGUCCGUGUUCUGCACUUUAGGUGUGCCCCGUGGGAAAAUCAAAGUCCCGUAUGAGGUCAAUAAUAAGAUCGAGGAAAUGUUGUUUCCCCGUUUGUUUCCUGGGUUGGAAUCCAUGCCGAACACGAUUUUCCUGGCAGAUUCGCUGCAGGCCAUGACAACCCAUGAAGAGGUUUUUAAGAUGAAGCUACUCAUGUACCUCAUCUCAGCUGUUUUCGCGCCGACCACUUUUCUUCGCCCAAGCAAUAAAUGCUUCCCCAUCCUGGCGAAACUAAAAGAUGUGAAGAACAUGAAUUGGUGUAAGUUCAUUGCUGACUUCCUGCAUGAUGCAUUCUCAAACAAGAUGUACCACAAGGGUUGUCGACUGCAUUUAAUGCUCAUGUACGUAGACUGUCUUGAUCUGUCCACUGUGGACUUCACUGGAACAGGAGGCCCGCCGCCUACACACAAGUUUGUUGUUUCUGUAUGGACUUACGAUGCUGUCAAGGCUGUGCUUGCUGCAGAUAGGGUAACUGAUACCAAAUAUGGGAAACUGCAGCUGAUGGCCAAGCAUGCUAUAGACUACAGCGUGUUUGGGGGGCCUCAAAAUUUUGGAAAGUGGAUGGACGUGCACUCAGCUCCGUCUUGCCCUACUGAGUUUGCAUCCGGAAUGACCAGCUUGCUUGGGAAGCUGGUUGAGGGUUGGACGUCCCUCAAUGGCUCUGGCAGAGACGCGGUUGCGAGGCGGUUCACUACAUUUGUUGUAGAACGGACACAUCGGCCAACUGGUUGUCGUGGCCGGUACGACUACAACAGUUCCCAAGAGCUUGCUGACACACAAGAUGAACUAGAUGGAGAUGCUGCUCUCAACAAGGACGAUGACGAUGACAUGGAGAACGUGCAGCACGACACCGAUGAUGAUGAACAUGUUGAAGUUCGUGCAGGUGGUAAGAAGGGCAAGGCUGCACCAGAUGUCCCCUCACCGGAGAAAGUCAAAGAACAUACAGCUGCGAGAGGCGAGGGAGUGUUGCCCUCAAAGAGGGAGAGGGCUCCAGAGGAUGUUGGGCAGGGUUCUCCUGGCAAGAGGGUGAAGAAGACUACUACACGCGUGACCAAGCAUAUCAUUAGGGACCCACUCGAACACCUUCAUUCAAAGUUGUCGACAGGUGGCAACUCAGAUGUUCAUGAGGCGCCAGUCGACAAAACUGCUGCUGCACCAUCAACUGUUCCCACUAGCUCUGACGCAAGCGGCCGACAAUCUCCGCCGGUUGCAGAUGUGCAGGCUACAACAACAGGCAUCCGUACAUCGGGGAGUGACGAGUCGGUAUCUGCCAGGACUACUGAAAUAUUGCCCACUCUGCUGGCAAUGAAGGAUGCUGCUGUGAGCCAUGCCACCCCAUCAGCAAGCGUUGAAGUGGACGCCCCCGAGACCAACCUAAGCGAGGAAGAUUCCCGCUCAUCUGACACGGAUUCCAAGCGCGUGCGUGGUGGCACUACUGUGUCCAUGACAGAAGUGGCUGAGGCGACAGUUCAUAGUGAUAUGCCAUCCACAGGUGAGAGUCUUGGCACAACAGCUCCAGCUCCUGGUGGUGCAGAGGUUGCUAAGGCGACUGUUUUGCGAGCUGGUCUUCCACCUAGGCGUCGUAGCCCCCGCAAGCAAUCAACAGACAUACCCAACGCACCGGCUGUAGCUAGGAGCAGCAGAGAUGAGUCUGGUUAUGUUCCUGCGUCCACACUAUUCCCACCACCUGCCAAAAUCAAUGUUAUGGAGAAACCGGAAGACCGGAGUACAACUGAUGCGGGUGUCAAGCCGGGCACGAGUGAUGGAGGUGAACAUCCGAAGCAGACUGCGUCUUUACCCGCAGUGGAGAACCCCAACUUAAAUCUGCCCACUUCCAAACUCCCAGUCAAUGUUGGUGUCCCCUACAGCCCAAACAAGAAGGUUGUCAAGAAAGCUGCGGCUGAUACCGCUGACAACACGCCCCGCCCUAUGAAUAAGCCCGAUGAUUCUGCAGCGGUCGAUUCAGAUAUGUUUGUUGAUCUUUCAUCCUUGGAUUCUGCCCCGCAAGUUGUUCGCGGUCUGGCCAGUAGGCAUGAGAGGCACCCAAUGGCCUUCACCCCACCGAGCUUUAGCCUUGGAAUCAGUCAGGAUCAACCAGUGGUGCAAGAUCCUACGCCAGUUACCUUUGCUUUCCCGGGAGGCAUGGCUGCAAUGAUGGCGCACCCAAUGGUCGAGGGCAGGAAGGCUGUCAAGUUCGCAGAGCCGAUCGUCCAAGUUUACCGCAGGAUUGAGGAGGCAGCAUUGCAGAGGAGGUCCUCACGAGGUCAGGGGCAAUCAAGUUCCAACGUGCCUGCUGAGACGGUAUCUGAGGAUACCAUUAGAAGUGCCACCCCUGGUUCUGUGAAGCAGCAGAGGGUAGUUCACCCACCUCCCGCGGAUGACUACGAGCCCGAAGUCAAGGCCACAAAGGAGCAAAACCAGCUGUACGAUAUUGUCAAGCGAUUUGGAAAUGUGAGGGCCAGCAGCAAGCACAUGAAGGAGCUGAAAGUAACCAAGGUCAUACAAUGCGAAGCGACGUACGUCGACCUGGGUGAUCUUGCCAUGUCCGUGAGGCCACUCGGUAAAAUGUCGACGAAUGUAGUUGCAUGUGGGAUUGACUUCAUCAACAGGCAUAUGGAUAUGUCUCUCGACAAAACAAUCAUGCAUUACAGUGUGACCUGCAAAAUAUGGGAUGGUGACUUCCACCACAAAAUCCUGAGGAAGUAUUUUGCUGCGCACGGUGAAUUCAAGCUCACAAUGAAGAAAUGUGUCCUGUUCCCCAUGUUCCAGGAUCUUGCACCACAUGACCCACACGACAAGUGUGGUCACCACUACGCGAUCUUCCUUGACAUGAAGAACCAACGUUUUGAGGUGCUUGAUUCAAUGCAUUCGGCAGCUGAUGCAGACCUUACUACGCAUGAUGAAUACUUCAUCAACAACCUCAAAGAGAUAUGGAACCGUCACUACGAACACUCAAAGGUCCAAAUCAGACAUUUUCCAAUUGAGACGGACUGUGGCUUCCACACGUUGGAAUACCUUGCAAAGUGGGAAGGUAGACUGGUUCCUGUUGUCACAGUUGCAAUGGUCAUUGAGCUCCGGAAAAUUUACACAUGGAACUGGUUGACAAAUGAAGAUUUCAACACGUGGUCCGGAGCACGUGAGUUCGUAGAGGAAGCUGUCAAGAAAGUCACCAAGAAGUACAAGUGA